RNAcentral lists this ribosomal RNA (492 nucleotides) under uncultured bacterium. RNAcentral's name for it is "partial 16S ribosomal RNA". It matches the Rfam family "Bacterial small subunit ribosomal RNA", at positions 30 to 507 of the family's 1533-position model. The record is from RNAcentral.
AUUGAACGCUGGCGGCAUGCUUUACACAUGCAAGUCGAACGGUAACAAGCCUUCGGGUGCUGACGAGUGGCGAACGGGUGAGUAAUGCAUCGGAACGUACCCAGAGGUGGGGGAUAACGCAGCGAAAGCUGUGCUAAUACCGCAUGUGAUCUGAGGAUGAAAGCGGGGGACCGAGCAGCAAUGUUUGGCCUCGCGCCUUUGGAGCGGCCGAUGUCGGAUUAGCUAGUUGGUGGGGUAAAGGCCUACCAAGGCGACGAUCCGUAGCUGGUCUGAGAGGACGACCAGCCACACUGGGACUGAGACACGGUCCAGACUCCUACGGGAGGCAGCAGUGGGGAAUUUUGGACAAUGGGCGCAAGCCUGAUCCAGCAAUGCCGCGUGCGGGAAGAAGGCCUUCGGGUUGUAAACCGCUUUUGGCAGGAACGAAACGGUGUCCGCUAAUACCGGGCGCUAAUGACGGUACCUGCAGAAUAAGCACCGGCUAACUACGUG